UACGGAGGAUGCGAGCGUUAUCCGGAUUUAUUGGGUUUAAAGGGUGCGUAGGCGGACGCUUAGGUCAGCGGUAAAAUUGCGGGGCUCAACCUCGUCGAGCCGUUGAAACUGGGUGCCUUGAGUGGGCGAGAAGUACGCGGAAUGCGUGGUGUAGCGGUGAAAUGCAUAGAUAUCACGCAGAACUCCGAUUGCGAAGGCAGCGUACCGGCGCCCUACUGACGCUGAAGCACGAAGGCGUGGGUAUCGAACAGG
This 252-nucleotide ribosomal RNA is filed under the name uncultured bacterium. RNAcentral's name for it is "partial 16S ribosomal RNA". It matches the Rfam family "Bacterial small subunit ribosomal RNA", at positions 524 to 776 of the family's 1533-position model. The record is from RNAcentral.